This 385-nucleotide unclassified non-coding RNA is filed under the name fungal sp. RNAcentral's name for it is "partial internal transcribed spacer region". Lineage: Eukaryota; Fungi. The record is from RNAcentral.
AAGUCGUAACAAGGUUAGGUGAACCUGCGGAAGGAUCAUUAACACGUAUCCAACGUUAAACCCCCCCGUGAAUAUUAAGCGUGCUCUUGCAGCCAGCCAGCAAUCUCCGGUAAAUCACGUCGAACGGUUUGAUUCGGAGAGUUCUGUCCUGGCGUGACGCGUCUCGCAAAGUUGCAAUCGAGCGCUAGGAUCAGUGGUCUGGUAAUUCACUGCCUUGAAUGUCAGUGUCAUUGAAGUGUGAUGGGGGAGAACCCUUAAGGAGCGCUGUAGGCACACACGGGCCGGCGUCCAGAUCACCGAGCGACAGCUCCCCUACAGCGUAGGCCCUCCUGUCGUGGUUGGGCGUCAAAACGAACAACUGUUAACAAUGGAUAUCUUGGUUCUC